Ictalurus punctatus (channel catfish) is the source of this 1365-nucleotide long non-coding RNA. The record is from Ensembl. Lineage: Eukaryota; Metazoa; Chordata; Actinopteri; Siluriformes; Ictaluridae.
CUGAAUACAAAUGCAAUUUCAGCAGGUUUCAUGAAAAUAACUAAGGCUAGGGUCACAGGGAGCCUGGAGCCUAUCCCAGAGGACUCGGGGUACAAGGCGGGGGACAUCCUGGACGGGGUGCUAAUCCAUCGCAGAGCACAAUCACACACACUUACGGACAAUUUGGAAAGGCCAAUCAGUCUAAAUCGCAUGCCUUUGGACUGGGGGAGAAAACCGGAGUACCCAGAGGAAACCCCCAAAGCAUAGGGAGAACAUGCAAACUCCACACACACAGGGUUGAGACAAGAUUCAAACCCCCAACCCCUUUAGGUGUGAGGCAAACGUGCUAACCGCUAAGCCACCAUGCCCUCCAGAGCUGAUUAUAUACAUGUCAAAUAACAUUUUCACAGUAAUCUUUUAAUACUCAUGUUCACAAAGUGUCAAUGUCAAACAAAUGCCUUCCUUAAUUUGUUUAAUCAUAUUUUAUUGGCUACCAGCUGCUACGAUGAGAAGCAGAAUUCACCAGUAUCAUUAUCAUGCUUUAUUUCUGAAUAGAUCUUCUUACAAGGUAAGAUUUCAUUUCUGUUCUAUCACUAUUAGCAUGUAAUUUUAAGCAUUUCCAUUGGAACUGUCAUAAAUGCGUUUUAUUUCCUACGCCUAUAAAGGUUAUUCUCAGUUUAAAAAAAAAAAAUACAAAUUUAAUCCUUGACAAUCGUUGUCAACGAAUUGUUUUCCUGUAACUGCACACUCCCAAGUGUUAAUCUUCUAGAAAUAGCCGAGUGGAUAAAGAAAAGAGUUUCCGCGCAUCUUCAAAUCCUGGUUUGGAUGAAAGCUGCAGAAAAAUGAUGCAUUUGAACGACACCAUUUUUAGUGUAAAAAUAUAUAUUUGGAUAAGGAGUCAUAGACAGGAGGUCUUCUGUUGGAAAGUGUGAAUCUGUGACUGCCUGCAACAUGCAAAAAGUCCUAUCUCAAUUUACUCGAGCAGAAAGUCUCCUGAACGUAGUGGAGAAAAGGUCAGAACAAAUUCUGCUUCAAAGAACAGCUAAUUUAGCGCUGAGCUAUGGAUUGAACUGUCCCACAUCACAUCUGACUGGUCUUACAGUUGCCUCCUAAUCACUGAUUCUGCUACCAAAGACUGCUUUAAUGUUUCCUCAUUAAGCAAAGCAGUGAAAAUUAUUCUCAGUGGGCACUCACCACUUAUAGCUGUUUGAGAAAUUCAUGUAUAUUUAUUGGAACACUGUAGGAUCUGCGUAAUCUUCACUUCACUUAUACAUUUUCAAUUUCUGUGAUACUGUAAUAGCAUUUCCAUUAAACCGCAUCAAAUGAUAAUGCCAAUCAAAGUUUUUUUUAAAGCAUUGUCAUCUCGUAAGGCAUAACACCUGGUGU